Molecule: long non-coding RNA, 1842 nt
Organism: Equus caballus (horse)
Lineage: Eukaryota; Metazoa; Chordata; Mammalia; Perissodactyla; Equidae
Source: Ensembl
AGGGGUGGAGGGGCCCAGCCUCCCCCUGCCCAACGCCUGAGCACUACUGGGCUGCGCUGGCAGAAGAGACGUCUCUAGGUCUGUGAGGGUCAUCGCUGCUGAGUAUUUCUCCUGCUGCAGAUUCCGACGGACUGUGAGAGAAGAAAGAACUGUUGUCCCAGAACCUGCUCAGGGCUGACAAACUCAGGGACACCAGGCUCUUGGAAUGAACGGGGCAGUGACAGGCUAAUGAGAUGUCAGCAGAGGGGACUUUCUGCACAGGGCUGAAGGUGGGAACCUCUCCCAGCCCCACAACCCCAACACAUCAGGUCUAUUCUCUCUACACCUUCUGCUGCCCUGGGUCUCCUAGACAGCUGCCCUGGCAUCAGGCUCUAGGAGCCAUCUCUGCCAGCUUCACCUUGUGGCCUUGGCUGACACGAGCUGACCAUCCUGGCCCCUUGUGCUUAGGGGUGCGAUGCUCCAGGUGUGAGCUGUCCUGUCUGCACUGUGGCUGGUGUCUUGUCAGCAGGAGUCCAGGCAGGUGGUAGCAGCUACUCUGCAAGGACACCAUAAAUCUAUGAGCUGAGAAUUGAUUCAGAGUUCAGACAGAGGCCUGGACAAAAACGCUCCUCACUAGGGAAGCCACAGGCUUGGAUAGGGCGGACCAGCUGGCUUUGCCCAUCUGGACCAGCAUGCUGCCUCCCGGGCCCAGGAAUGAGGCUCCUGGGAGAUGAUCUGACAAUGAAUGGUAUAACGAGAUCUCCCUUCUGUGGUGGUGGCUCCAUCCAGUGGUCCACGCAAGGGCUGGCUCCUGUGGGCCUCCUGCCUGACAUGGCCCGGGACGUGGCCCUUCUUCCCCAGGAUGGAAAGGCUGCCAGGUGCGGCGACGACUUCCUCUGGUGCUCCUUGGAGGCUGCUCGGUAGAAUGGAGUGAGCACAGGCUUUGGAGUCAGAGUUCUGGGGUCAAAUUUCAAUUUGCCCACUUGCUCUGUAGCCUUAGGCUGGACACUUAAUCUCUCCACGCUUCAACUUCCCCAGCUGUGGAAAUGGAUACAAUAGCAUCACCUCGCAGGGUGUUGUGGAGAUCAAGAAACACCCAAGACAUGAAAGCCCCCAUUCCUCCCACAACCCCACUCAGGGCUGCCACACACACCUUCCACAAGUUGGAGGCCUGAAGACAGAGCCAUUUGCCAGCUGCUUCCCAAACACUCAGGAUGGCAGGUAGACAGGACAGCACAGCAGCCCCUCACAGCCAGUUUCUCCUUCUCACCCCAGCUCACAGCAGCUCUGCCUGCGCCCCGGGGCCCUCAGUGGCCGGCAGCCUCCAUAGGGUGGAAGAUGGUCGCUCCAGUCAGGUCAAGUGAGGGCAGCCUAAGCGCUCUGUCUGCUGAGCCAGAAUCUGGGGCCACAGCCAGUCUCAGAGCCUGCAGCCUCUUAGGCUUUCUCCAUUUAUCCCCAUCAAGCAUCCGCAGCAUCAGUGAUGGCUGCAGUUCUGAGUCCAGACUUUCCAUUUGCGCUCAAGGGCAGAUCAGAUGAUUGUCAGCCACAAAGCAGUGACCUAGACCUUGGGGUCUGUUUGUUUUUGCUGCAGGCUAACUUCUAUUCCCUCCCUGGCUAUAACACAGGAGGGGAAAAUCAUCGCUGCAAGGACAGAUCCCUCCCCAGCCACCGGCACUUUGCUCUUCCAAUUCCCCAGGCUCCGUUCUACUGGAAUAUUUUUUCUCAGCUAAACUCUUCUCUCACCUUCUUUCACCCCCACACUGUUGCAGCUGCUUAAAUGUUUCCAAUCUUUUUUUGCACAUUUUGGCACACGUAGAAAAUGAUUCGCCUGUAAGGCUUACUGAGGUAGUUGGAGGGGGCCGG